RNAcentral lists this long non-coding RNA (4927 nucleotides) under Monomorium pharaonis (pharaoh ant). Its description in RNAcentral is "uncharacterized LOC118647378". Lineage: Eukaryota; Metazoa; Arthropoda; Insecta; Hymenoptera; Formicidae. The record is from RNAcentral.
UAGAUCUAAAAAUUAUAAAUAAUCAAAAAAUUAUUUAUUAUAUUUUCCAAAUCUAUGUGCAAUCUUGUGUAAAUAAUUCAAUUUUAUUUAAACGACGAAAGGAUAUCCAGAUGACGAAAAUAAGUGGCUAGUACAAUUAUUUUUUCUUUUGAUUAAAAUUUAUUUUUGUAUGUCAAGAAAUAUCUCUACUAUAUUUAUAAGUUACCUAGUUAUAUCUACUAUUUUUAAACUUUUUGUUACAUUUAAACACCGUAUAAUAAUUGUUUUUGUGCAAACUUAGUUCUUUUUUUAUUUUUGUGUAACUCUUUCUAGACAAUGUUUUAAAGACCACAUAAUAUAAAUUAAUUCUAAUGUAAUUAACGAUUCAACAUUGCGCGAGUAUGAAUUGCGAUUUUAACUCGCUAAAGUUACGGUUGAACUUUGAAAGGGCUCAUAAAAUGCACGAGAUUUUAUGAUGAGAGUAUUAGAGCGUAGUUGAAAGUGCAGAUAUCUCGUGCCCGUGUCCGCAGUGGAGCGUCGUAAAUUCUACGAGCGUGUAAAGAGCGAUACUUGAAAAUAAUAAUCUUUGUAGUCACGUACGCGCGAGAUAAAUCCGCGGCUCUUAUUCUACGAUGCGAUCGUGGAGCUUAAUAACGCCUCGCGACGAAUACACGGUAAAAGGAAGUGUAAUAGAGAUGUAAAGACGACAUGCGACGACGAAGAGAUCGAAAGGAGCGGAUUGCGCGUGCGUACCGGAAGUCUACAAGGAUGAAUGUCCUCUCUUCGUUCCAUUGUUUCUGCCGUCGUAUUAUACUAGGAACAAUGAAACGCAAUAUCCGGCCAGGAAUGGUCGAAGGCGAAUGACGAGGUGAACGAAGGAGGAAAGAGGCGAGGUGAGAGAGCGAGAGACAACUUCGGAGUUUCUUCAGUCGAUUCUCUCUCUCUCUCUCUCUCUCUCUCUCUCUCUCUCGUCAGGCGGAAAGCCUAGUACAACAAUGGGGUUGCCCUUUUAUCAAUCGGCGCCAGUUGCGACCCUUUUAAACGACGAAUCAAUAAUAAAUUCUCCGCGUAAAGUGCCACCUCACCUCGCGGAAUCCUCGAUCCAUUCGCGAAUUUCUCGCGAUUCUCUCUCUCUCUCUCUUUCUCUCUCUCUCUCUCUCUCUCUUUCUCUCUCUCUCUCUCUCUCUCUUUCUCGCUCCUCGACGUCUCGUCGUCUUGGAUGAGGGGGUGGCUCGAGGCAUGAAUCUGAAGUGACGGUACGAUAAAUCAAAUUAACUCCCAAAAGUUUCGAGACUUCGACUUUCCCUCCCCCUCGUUCGCCGGCGCAGCUACUAUUUCGCGGUCGUGAUUGGAUGGUGAAACGGAACGUGAAAAAAGAGUAGACGAGGUCUCGUGUCCUUCUCCCCCCUCCUCCCGUUCCGUGUCUGAAACCCCGCGUGUGGGAUGGUAGAAACCUGGCUCGAGAGCGCUCCCGUCGUAAUUAUCGAUUCCUUACAUAAGCUACUUUUAUUAGCAUCGUAAAUAUAACAUGAAGGGGAACAGUAUAUCGUGCUUGAAGCGUUUCUUGAAAGUUCCGGCUUGAAGAAAAAGGGGGGAAAAAGUGGAAAAGGGAGGAAACUAAAGUAAAAUGGUAUCAACUCUAAAGAGGAGAAUCGCAGAUGUCUGUCGGAUCAGCAGCUGUGAAUAAAUCAAAGGAUCUUUUUACGUAAACGAAAUCUACCGUUAGUUCUACCGUUUAUUGAUUUAUUUCGAUUAUUCUGUUUUUUUUAAAUUUUUUUUUUUAACAGUCGAACGUAACCACAAUAGUUUUCAGUGCCGUCUCUCUCGUAUAUCAUACUUCCGUCAUCGGUAAUGGCAACGUAUUGAUCAAAUUUUUUAUUUCGCCUUCCCCUGGAAAUAUUUGCCCAACUCACUUGUUCCUUCGUUCGUCUCCAAGAACGAAUUCUCUUACAACGUACGUGAAAGGAGAGAGGCAGUUCUAUCAUCUCUAUCCGCCUCGCUACGCUCUCCUCUCCUUCCGCUUUCGUGAAACGCCGCCGCCGCCGCCGCCGCGACCCGCAAGCAAGUCACUCCCGUCACGCGUAUCCAGCCCCGGGAAAAAGGAAGACGUGCGUUAUUUUCUUCACGCUCGAACGUGCCGAAAUAAGGGUCGACCGGGAAAAGGUAGAGCCGGCCAUGAAGGAACGUCGGAUUCCCGAGGCGUGGCACCUCCAGAAUGGAUUCAACUAAAUUCUCACACUCGCCGAGCCGAGCUGAGCCGUGCCGAGACGCGCUGCUCGCCCCUGCCUUGUACGAGGGCGAAAAGACGGCGAGGGGAUGGAAUGGCGAAGAAGAAGAAGAAGAAAGGAAGGAAGGAGGGAGGCAAGAAACGCCGCGCGUGGUGUAAACCCGAGACGAACCAACGAGCAAAUGUGUUUAUCCACGCGACCUCCCCGCAAACGGGACCCGAACGAACGGAAAUUUCGGCGGUGUCGGGUUCGGAGGAAACGAUUCCCGGCCUUAUACGUCGGUCGGACGCGUCGUCGUCGUCGCCGGCGAGAGAAAGGGAGGAGCGAGAUCCAUCCGCGCCGGAAAGCGAUUCCCCUUCGCGGCGAGAGCGCUCGCUGGCAAGAACCGGCCGGGCGGGUGAGUAACGGGCGCGAUCGAUUAUCGAUGAUCGUGUAAGUGUCGAUAGCGGGGAGAUUGCGCCGCAAGCUGGAUAGAGGCGGCGGCGGCGGCGCAAGAACGGACGUCGUUAAAAACAGGCGAUGACAAACAGGCUGCUGGUACUCGGCGGAGGAUACGCGCGAGUUCGAUUACGGGCGGGGAUGGGAGAGAAGGAGCAAGUGUUGCGCUCACAUCAUUCAAGGAACCGCUAACGAGUCUCCUUGUCGGUCCCGCGAAAUGUGAUCGCUGCGAAUUAGGUAUCGAUCAUGUUUGUUGUAUUACAACUGUCGAUGUAACGGAGUAAUAGUUGGAAAUUGCGAGGGUAAACGCGGAAAGAAAAAGUCAAGAUACUGUGAAGACAGCUGAUGAUUAGAAGAGAUGAGGACGUGAGUGUAAACGUCGUCGUAAUCAAGGGGAACACGCUUACAGCUGAAGAAUUAGAAGAUAAUUGCGCACGAGAAUAUUCAAUGUUCAAAGAUCGCGCUACUUUGAAAUUCAAAGAUUAAUCUUGUCAACCGCAGCAUCAUCUUGUGGAGCAGGCAGACGGCAAUUUGUCCUGCUCACUCCACCACGCUCGAAUUCACCCCCGAAAUUUUACGUCGUCCGCAACCCCGUAAAUUGCGUCGUCUACUCCUCUCCGCUCAUGUUUACGCGUCCUAAGUGGCGCAAAGAGAAAGAGAGAGAGAGAGACGUUCAUGGAAAAACUUAUUCGGAGACGAGGAACGAACGUGGAUAGGAUAGGUUGAAACGGAGGCUGCGCGCGAGAUGGAACGUAGGUACAUCAAGCCGGAAGCACCGCGGUGGUGCCGUUAACAUAAAUCCAGUCAUUGCUCCCCAGACAUAAUACCCUUGUACCUUACUCCCGCGUAAUGUCAAACCGCGUCUUGUCGUAUCCUCGUCGCUUCCUAUAGUUUCCGGAGUUGCGCACCGGCGAAAAGAAAAGCUUCCGCGAUGCUUUCCGCAUCGCACGCGAUCGAGAACACGCACGGGGAAAACGGGAGUUUAGACUUGACGAGAUUUUAGCUUUUUUUUACACCUUGUACGUUAUAGCUUACGCGCCGUUUAACGCGUCUCAUUCCACUGGAUUUAUCUCGUCUCAUUUAUUUUUAUAUAUACAUAUUUUUUUAUAAUAUGUCCUUUGCGCGCGUUGAUGAGACUUUUAGAGUUCUACCUUUUCUUUGCUCACAAUCAUUUUUUUUAUUAUUUUAAGGAUUUUCUUGACUUUAAGGGUCGAUUGUUCCAACUUCUUGGUAAACUUAUCUAUCAGGUAAAUAUAUGUUUUGUUUUUAUUUAUUUAAGAAAAGAAAUGAAGAUAGACACAUGCUUAUCUGAUAGGUAAGUUUACCGAGAAGUUCGAACAAUUGAUCCUUAAGUUGGAGAAAAACGUGAAAAUAUAGAAUUCUAAAGAACAGAGAAGGCAGUUUUAGAAAAUGGUAUAAGAAGCAAAUUUCUUCAUCUAACAUCACUUACAUAAUUAAAAAAUAUCUAAAGAUAUACAUAACAUUCCAUUGGACGAUUAUCCAUUGCAACAUUGCAUGACUUUACUACAAAUAAGUAUAAAAUCUUUAUUAAAUACAAAUAGUGUGUGUAUAUCUACAAAGGAGAAAAAUAUAUAAAGAAUCUUUCUCUUGAAAUCUCAUCGCGACUCGAUACGCGGAUAUUUCCGGAGAGAGGCAGACUUGCAAACUAGCAAAAUUGUAAAGCUACAGACGAAAUGGAUGACGCUGACUUUCUCUGUCCGUGAAUGAAGGCGACGAGCAAUUUACAAAGCUUUUACCUAGUACCGAGCGAUUUUCAGAUAUUCCAACUUGCGGUACUUGUAGAAUGCGUGAGAGGUAUCUGCACGUGAAAGGAAGGCGUCUAAAAAGGAUCGAUAUUUGCAGUUGCUUUAGCGGAAGUAACUAGGAUGCACUCUCGCCGUGUGUACAUAAGUCAGUUGCCUCGUGAACGUCUCCCGUAUCCGAAAAUUACCUCAAAAACUGGUCCUUGAUUCAUCGAAUCGAUAACUCGAGCAUCUUCCAAAAGACGUUUUUAACUUUGUCAAAAUUACUAUCCGUAUCCUAAUAGAAAUUAUUGAACCUCAUAUAGCCGUUUAGUUCUGAGAUUAAAAAGCAUGUGUCUCAUGUAGUUACUAUUAGUAUAUAUCGCUUUUAAUAAUUAUAUUUUUUUUAGUAAUUUAACAUUAUCUUUUUAUUAUACUUAUUUGGUAUACAGAGGACAUUUGAUAUACACUAUUAGAACUGAAAAAUCUGUAACACAUUAUAGAUUUUAAUCACUAAAUUAGAUUUUUUUAUAAAAAAAA